This 107-nucleotide ribosomal RNA is filed under the name Gemmatimonadota bacterium. Its description in RNAcentral is "Gemmatimonadetes bacterium (bioreactor metagenome) partial 16S ribosomal RNA". It matches the Rfam family "Bacterial small subunit ribosomal RNA", at positions 1427 to 1533 of the family's 1533-position model. Lineage: Bacteria; Pseudomonadati; Gemmatimonadota. The record is from RNAcentral.
UAGGUAGUCUAACCGCAAGGAGGACGCUUACCACGGUGUGGCCGAUGACUGGGGUGAAGUCGUAACAAGGUAGCCGUAGGGGAACCUGCGGCUGGAUCACCUCCUUA